This is a long non-coding RNA of Mandrillus leucophaeus (drill), 694 nucleotides long. RefSeq lists it as uncharacterized. The transcript has 4 exons. NCBI's taxonomy places the organism in Eukaryota, Metazoa, Chordata, Mammalia, Primates, Cercopithecidae. The record is from RefSeq and is a predicted model, not a curated record.
GCAUAUUUCUGUUCAUUCUCUUGCACCUGCUAUCAGUAUAGGAAGAAUUUCCUCUGAGUAGCGGCUGCCACUUGUUGUGAGUCCAGGGGAAUACACUCCUGGAGGUGACAAAAGUCCAAACUGCAAUGAUGUGCCACACUCACCCAGCUGGAUUUGAACUGAAGCAGGGCCCCAGCCAAGCCCUGCCUGAGAUCAGCAGACCCUUGAUGACCCACAAAAAUUAUCUGCUUAGGACACAGAAGUCAAUUAUACCCAAACCCUGGAUGGAAUCAGAAUCUGAAUCAGCCAUGCAAUGAGGAAGAAGAAAUGUAAGUUGAGGCCCGUGAUUCCAACAGUUCUAUCUUCCAGGAAUGGCUACCAAGGAGAAAGUGUCCUGCAAAUCAGUUUCCAACAGAAUCAACACUGCUAAACACACUCCCACUGGAGUAUGGAGAAAGGGGAUCCACAGAAGAACCUAAACCUGAACCACUUCCAUGUAUUUGCCCAUCCAUUUCUCCUCUCUGGCCAAUACUCUUCAUAUUCAAAUUCUACCAGUCCUUCAAAGAUCAGAUUAAGGUGCAAACUUUCAAAAGCCUUCUCAGCCUACUCUUCCAAAUUAAUAGUACAUAUCAACUUCAAUUAAUUAUAAACUCAUUUGUUUCAUUUUGUAUUAUUUAAUAGAAACACUGGAAUUUAAUCUUUGUGGUUUUUACAU